RNAcentral lists this unclassified non-coding RNA (152 nucleotides) under soil metagenome. RNAcentral's name for it is "partial internal transcribed spacer 1". The record is from RNAcentral.
GCGAGUAUGGCCCUCACGGGUCUAAUCCACCAUAAACACCUUUGUGAACCAGUCAGGGGGACUCGGCCGUGAAAGCCCAGGCGAUUAGCGGAAGGGCCCUCCUUUGCAAACCCGUUUAGAAGUCUUGAAAGUACUUUUGUAUAAUCUAGUAC